Molecule: long non-coding RNA, 2807 nt
Filed under: Junco hyemalis (dark-eyed junco)
Lineage: Eukaryota; Metazoa; Chordata; Aves; Passeriformes; Passerellidae
Description: lncRNA (ENSJHYG00000015073.1)
Source: RNAcentral
AUGGGGAACAGAGCUCCCUGCCCCCUCUUCUUCAGUGAGUGGAGCAAAAAGAUUGUCCUCUGCAAAAUGGCCAUGGAGUUAAAUGUAGCUGAAAUUGAGCAGCUCCACUUACAGCAAGGAACGUUUCAGCUCGAUGGAGAUGUGACUAUGCCUGUCUUGGGAACAUUCAUUUGUUGUAAUUGUUCACCUCUGAUCCCAGUGUGAGAUCUACCGUGGAGCAGCCAGAGUGGGCAUGGAGGCAGAGCUAGGGUCUAGCAGAGGGCAUCACCCCAGUGAGGUGAAACCAAUCAGGUAAUUCAAAACAUUUGUAAAUUAGCCUGAAAGCACAGAUUUAGUCUGUUCAUCACAGAAAGCCAGCUCUGUUCAGAGCUGAGGUAGGUUUAAACUGCAGUGCCUGUUCAAAGCUAUUUACCUUAUGUAGCUUUGAGCAGCACCUGUCAGGCAGGGUAAUGUUUAGGUGCGUAUGUUCGGCAUUUGUUCUUAAUGCUGGCAGUUCAAACUGCUUCAUUUUUUUUCUGAGUGUCAGAAGAGCAUUUGUCACUGCAGCCCCUUUCUGGGCCCAGAGUGUUGCCAUAAAUAUGCUGGACAUAGAGGACAAUUUUCAUGCCUCCUGCACAGCUUUAGAGACAGUCAAAACAGAUCUUUGAUAAGACAGAGGUGGCAACCAUCCAGCCUAACAUCCAGCUUGAGUUUGGAGCAAGAAGGAAGUGGAAAAGCAGCUUGAAAAGUGUCCUCAGACAGGUCACUGGCUAAAUACCUGCCCUCACACUCUGGUAAAUUCAGUGAAUCUGUCCAGUAGGGUUACUUGCAAAACCUAGUGAUGUGUGACAGAAAUUUGGUUCCUGGUGUGCAAUAAUGGGCAGACAUUUGCUUCCCCAGGUGCUUUCUAAAUGCAUGAUAUUAAAUGAAAAAUUCAAGUUUGCCUGCAUAACAGGACACUCAUUUGUGUCCUGUCACAAAUAUCGUCAUAUUUUAUCCCACCCCUCCAAUAUGAAAUAUUUCUCCCUUCCAAAAUGGCCAUGCUUCCUUCCUAUGUGCUAAAUGUUAUUUUAAAAAAAUGCAUAAAUUAUGAGCCAUUCUUCUUUCUCAACAACACAAAAAGUGAACAAUUUAUCAAUUAUUUUUGUUAAAGCUACGUUUUUUCCUAACUUAAGUGUAAUAUAUUAGAUUAUCUGUUGAUUUUACAUUUAUAUAUUAUUUAUAUAUUAAUAUUACAAAUAUAAUAUAUUUUUGCUCAUUUUACAUCUUUCUGACUGGAUGAUGCUAUAAUGUGUAUGCGUUCAAAAUAGAGGUUUUUUUCUGUUAAUUCAAAUUCUAAAAAAUGCUUUGUAAAAUUUUGGAAAUGCAAAACUCUUAUUUGGGCCAGUCUUAUAAAAUACACUCCUUGGGUUAAAUUUAGUAGUAACAACCUUCAUUGUAAGCAUCUCUUGGAUUUCAGGUGCUGUAAAAUUAAACACUUUGUCUUUCUUUUAUCACUUUCAACACCAAAAGAAUAGCUCUGCUUUCCAUGCUCCCACUGCUGCCAGCUCCUCCUCCCCUCUGGCUCCUGUGACACAAGAUGAAGUUGGAUGUGCCAGUGACAGCAUGCAUCAGUCAGGCACAGUAAGGUAUGUGCUGGGGAUGCUGCUGACAAGAUGGAUAUUCUUGGCAGGCUCCGUGACAUUUCUCCUUGCCCUUUGCUGAAGAAAGGAGGUCACUGGAACACCAUCAGGGCUUCAGGCAUCAACCUGGAUGCACAGUAUCACUCCCCCAUUUCCAUGUCAUGAAGCAGAGCAAUUGACCCUCCUGCUCAGAAUAUAUGGGAAGACAUGGGCAAAUCACAUCAAAUCGCAUUACCUGUGUUAUGCCUUGGGAAGAUGAGGAGCAACUAAGACUUUCCAGCAAACCAAAGGAAGGAGCAAUGUUUUCUUUAUGCUCUUUGCUGAACUGUGGAUCAAUGGGCAAAUAGAAAUGCUCUAAGGCAAGAAAGAAGAAUGAAACAGAUGGAAAACAAGAAAGAGAUAAAGGUUAAAUCUUCGCCCUAGUAAAGCUCCAAAAUUCCUGUUGACUGCAGUAGUAGAGAGCCAGAAAAGAAGAGAGGGUGGAGGAAAACAGGGAGAGGAAAAGGAAAUCAGGGAAGGAUGGCUCCAGAUGAUUUUAUCCCCAUUUUCCAUCUGAGUUCCCCCCUCCCACCAUCAGUCUCCACUUUCUCCAGCUCUCAUCUUUUUUCAUUGCUGAAGCAGUAAGCUGUCAUUUCUCAUCCGGUAUCUCCCAUCCAUCCAUCAGCAUGUCUGGGAUAGCUGGCAGCUAAUUCCGAUGGGUUAGCAACCCAUCAGUAUCCCUUGCCAGUUCCCACGGGGCAUGUAAACUGAUCAAGUUAACAAAUUCUGACAGGUGAGAGACAUUCAGCCUCAGUUGCUACCGGUAGCAAAGAGAGAUGUAAAGGGUUCCAUAUGGUAUUCAAUGGGGAGAUACAAUGCCAGAAGAGAAACGUCUCAUCGGCCUGAAUUCAGAUUGUUCUUUGAUCUACCUAAUAAUCUCAUGGGGCCUCUAUAACAUGACCCUCUUCCUAUUCUGCCCUAAUGGCAAAGGGUUAAGGGAGACCAGAAAUGCAUUCUGCUAUAAGCAUUCUGCCCAGUAGGUGUGGUCAGGUCAUGGUACAAAUGUUGCCAAGAACCCUUUCUUGAGAGGGCAGAAAUACAUGGCAGAACCAAGACAACAUUUUUGGCAGCUGUUUCUCAGGUACACUGAUGUGAAUGAAAGAUUAAAAGUCCCCUUUCUCAACUACCUAACACUUGAAUAAAUCAGAAUUUCACAAGAAGUGAACA